This 449-nucleotide ribosomal RNA is filed under the name uncultured Gammaproteobacteria bacterium. Its description in RNAcentral is "bacterial SSU rRNA". It matches the Rfam family "Bacterial small subunit ribosomal RNA", at positions 324 to 765 of the family's 1533-position model. Lineage: Bacteria; Pseudomonadati; Pseudomonadota; Gammaproteobacteria. The record is from RNAcentral.
ACACGGUCCAGACUCCUACGGGAGGCAGCAGUGGGGAAUAUUGGACAAUGGGCGAAAGCCUGAUCCAGCCAUGCCGCGUGUGUGAAGAAGGUCUUCGGAUUGUAAAGCACUUUAAGUUGGGAGGAAGGGCAGUAAAUUAAUACUUUGCUGUUUUGACGUUACCGACAGAAUAAGCACCGGCUAACUCUGUGCCAGCAGCCGCGGUAAUACAGAGGGUGCAAGCGUUAAUCGGAAUUACUGGGCGUAAAGCGCGCGUAGGUGGUUCGUUAAGUUGGAUGUGAAAUCCCCGGGCUCAACCUGGGAACUGCAUUCAAAACUGACGAGCUAGAGUAUGGUAGANGGUGGUGGAAUUUCCUGUGUAGCGGUGAAAUGCGUAGAUAUAGGAAGGAACACCAGUGGCGAAGGCGACCACCUGGACUGAUACUGACACUGAAGUGCGAAAGCGUGGG